Molecule: ribosomal RNA, 253 nt
Filed under: uncultured bacterium
Lineage: Bacteria
Description: partial 16S ribosomal RNA
Rfam family: Bacterial small subunit ribosomal RNA
Source: RNAcentral
UACGUAGGCAGCAAGCGUUGUUCGGAAUUACUGGGCGUAAAGGGCGCGUAGGCGGUUCGGUAAGUAGGAGGUGAAAUUUCGGGGCUCAACCCUGAAACUGCCUUCUAAACUGCCGAACUGGAGCACGGUAGAGGCAGAUGGAAUUCCCGGUGUAGCGGUGGAAUGCGUAGAGAUCGGGAAGAACACCAGUGGCGAAGGCGGUCUGCUGGGCCGUUGCUGACGCUGAGGCGCGACAGCGUGGGGAGCAAACAGG